AGGAAAAGGAAAAGACAGAGACGGAGGGGGCAGAAGGGGAGGCAGAGCAGGGACAAAGGCCUGGCAGCUCUCAGCGGUAAUGACGUGGGGGGCAGCAAAUUCUCACCUCUCUGAUUGGCCAAAUAGCCUUAGGAGCACUGGGCCCCAGGUACAGGAUGCUCCACUGAGAAAGCGAAUAUCAGGGCAUCUGGGGAGCCAGGUGAGUGGGACACUGGGGAAAGCUUCACAAUGGACACGUUCGCGGCUGCAGCGAUUCUGAGGAUUUACCCGGAGGAGAAUACAGAUUCUCCUGAGUGGAUCCCUCUCCAGUGUCCUGUCGCUGUGGCCGGGAAGCUGUUAGAUCACUCAACAACUGGAACGUUACUUCUGAAAAGCCAAUGGGUCACAGGCAGUGACCCCGAGAAGAAAGAGAGGAGGAGAUGAGAGCGUGUGUCCCUGCUGUAGCUGUACUGUCCCCAUGCCCUCCGAUGCCGAAGAGGUCCCAGCAGAGUCUGUCAUUGAGGAAGCCUGGAGGGGCAGACCCACCGAGGGCAGCUCCCGGCUGCCAGGCCGGGCGUCAAGAGACGCAGCCCUCAAGUGGAGUGUUGACAGAGCGCCCGCGCCCUGCCGGAGAUUAGGUGGCUGAUCUUGUAAGGAUCAGCGACUUACUCGGUGCUGUUUACACUGGCAUUGAUGUAGUGACAUUCUGAUCUAAUUACAUGUCAAUAAACCAAAGUCCUGAUUCACUGUGGAGGUCGGAGCGGAUUACGGGACUCCAUCGGCAAUUCUUAGAGAACAAGGACUCAGCCUUCGGAUUCAAUUACUGCCAAGUUAGCCAACUGUAAAGCCACGGCUCGGAGGGGGGAACAUGGGGAGAGAGGUCAGCCCACCGGACCUGCCCUUCCUGCUACAUUAAAAGUUCUGAUCAGGGAGGCUUCUUUUCUCUGAGCUGAUCAACUCUUGUACUUAAUCCAGCUAACUGCUAGCUACCAGAAACCGGGUGCAGAACUGCAGGAAAACAAACAGCCAUCACUCGCAAAUCAGCCGGGUGCCUCUGCCUACAGCCACCACACACAAAGGAGCCAGCUCUGCCCACCCAGAGCUGACAAAGAGGCCAGGAGAGUGAGGCCAGGGCGUGCUUGCCCCACCCUGCUGCCUAGGCC
Heterocephalus glaber (naked mole-rat) is the source of this 1142-nucleotide long non-coding RNA. Lineage: Eukaryota; Metazoa; Chordata; Mammalia; Rodentia; Bathyergidae. The record is from Ensembl.